CUCUUAGGGAGCUGAGUCACGGACGUCUGGUGUCGGAGUAUUGUCGCUGUCACAAGUGGUAACUAGUCAGCACAGGCUGCAUCUGUUGAUUUUACGCUGUGGAGCUGUAUGUUUUAAAGGAUCCACGUUUCGCCUACUUUUCUUUGUCUUAGCCUGUUCCAUCGCCUGCCCGCCUACCUAGGAUUUUGUGUUGACUAUUGUGGAUCCGCGACGGAGUGCUACGUACCAUCAGGCGGCGUUCACCGCAGCGGCUGUGGUUUGGGUGGUCAAGUAGCUCCGGUGCGUCUGCUGCCUACCUGCAUGCUUCGGCUCCGUCUCAUCGCCUCGGUGUUUACCUCCUGGCACAUUUUUAUUUAUCACUGUAUAUAGCCCCUUCCCUUGUAAAUAUUCCCCCUUACUCGUGUAUAUAAAAACUUGCAUCACUAA
Molecule: long non-coding RNA, 426 nt
Organism: Astatotilapia calliptera (eastern happy)
Lineage: Eukaryota; Metazoa; Chordata; Actinopteri; Cichliformes; Cichlidae
Source: Ensembl